This 497-nucleotide ribosomal RNA is filed under the name uncultured bacterium. RNAcentral describes it as "partial 16S ribosomal RNA". It matches the Rfam family "Bacterial small subunit ribosomal RNA", at positions 28 to 507 of the family's 1533-position model. The record is from RNAcentral.
GAUGAACGCUGGCGGCGUGCCUAAUACAUGCAAGUCGAGCGAACAGAUAAGGAGCUUGCUCCUUUGACGUUAGCGGCGGACGGGUGAGUAACACGUGGAUAACCUACCUAUAAGACUGGGAUAACUUCGGGAAACCGGAGCUAAUACCGGAUAAUAUUUCGAACCGCAUGGUUCGAUAGUGAAAGAUGGUUUUGCUAUCACUUAUAGAUGGACCCGCGCCGUAUUAGCUAGUUGGUAAGGUAACGGCUUACCAAGGCGACGAUACGUAGCCGACCUGAGAGGGUGAUCGGCCACACUGGAACUGAGACACGGUCCAGACUCCUACGGGAGGCAGCAGUAGGGAAUCUUCCGCAAUGGGCGAAAGCCUGACGGAGCAACGCCGCGUGAGUGAUGAAGGUCUUCGGAUCGUAAAACUCUGUUAUUAGGGAAGAACAUACGUGUAAGUAACUGUGCACGUCUUGACGGUACCUAAUCAGAAAGCCACGGCUAACUACGUG